UACGAAGGGGGCUAGCGUUGUUCGGAUUUACUGGGCGUAAAGGGCGCGUAGGCGGCCACCGCAAGUCAGUUGUGAAAUCUCUGGGCUUAACCCGGAACGGUCAGCUGAUACUGCGGGGCUAGAGUGCAGAAGGGGCAACUGGAAUUCUCGGUGUAGCGGUGAAAUGCGUAGAUAUCGAGAGGAACACCUGCGGCGAAGGCGGGUUGCUGGGCUGACACUGACGCUGACAGCGCGAAAGCUAGGGGAGCGAACGGG
Molecule: ribosomal RNA, 255 nt
Filed under: uncultured bacterium
Lineage: Bacteria
Description: partial 16S ribosomal RNA
Rfam family: Bacterial small subunit ribosomal RNA
Source: RNAcentral